UCAGCGGGUAAUCUUGACUGAUCUGAGGUGCAAAAGUUUAAUAAUAUUUCGGAAAAUGUUUUCAUUCUGGGAUGCUUGGCACCUGAAUUAGACAUUUUCUAUCUUCUUGCUAUCAUUCAGUGUAGUAGAAUUAAAUUUCACAAUCUAACAACUUACAUACACCAUAUCACAAUAUACACAUUGUAUGGAUGAUCACACACUCAGACAGACAUGCCGAUCACUCGGCGCAAGUUGCGUUCAAAAAUUAGAUGACUCACAGGUUCAUGCAGAUCACAUUACGUAUCGCAUUUUGCUGCGUUCUUCAUCGAUGCAAGAGCCA
This 319-nucleotide unclassified non-coding RNA is filed under the name uncultured fungus. RNAcentral describes it as "partial contains 5.8S ribosomal RNA and internal transcribed spacer 2". Lineage: Eukaryota; Fungi. The record is from RNAcentral.